CUGCUAGGAGUUCCUUCCUUCU
RNAcentral lists this microRNA (22 nucleotides) under Sarcophilus harrisii (Tasmanian devil). RNAcentral's name for it is "Sha-Mir-7292_3p (mature (guide))". The record is from RNAcentral. RNAcentral also lists the same sequence under 1 other name. Lineage: Eukaryota; Metazoa; Chordata; Mammalia; Dasyuromorphia; Dasyuridae.